GCCAUACACCUGUCCUACCUGCACAAUUAUCUGGAUGAUAAAAUAACCGUUUCUUUCAGACAGAAAUAGUUUCUCAUCAAGUAAGCAACCAGGUUAAUUCCCAACGUCCACUGUGUGUAUUUGGCUUUUCUUUUAAAAACGUUAGUCUACCUGUAUGAUACAUCAUGGAGAAAAGACCAAUCAAAUUUGGGAUUAUUUUUACUUUGGCUGUUUCAGCACUCCUUUUCUUUGCUGAUGUUGUGCCUGUUUCCCAUUUACGGAGGGCAACACCCAGCAGCAGUGACAAGACCACCCCAGCUACACUGUCCGCAUACUACUUAUGUGUCAGAAUCACCAACCAGAUUUACACUGAGUCACUCAAUAAUCAAAGCUCUAAGGAGUACAAACAGCUGAGGAAACAGGUGGAACAGAUGAUGGAUGAUGUCCACAGCUCUUUGCCAGAGUCUGACAAAUAUAUGGGUGUAUUUGAUGUAAUCUUCAGUAAUGGAUCAGUCAUUGCAAACUCGACAUUAAUGUUUGGGACUACAUUCAUGAUCAUUCCAACUUUGGCUCAAGGUCUACUUUCCAUUCAUAUCCAAUCAAAUAAAUCCAAAACCCUUGACCUGGACCUCGCCUAUACUGAAGGUCAACUUCCAAUAAAAGCCACACUACCUCUUGUAGCACGUACAACAGCAACCGUAACUUCCUCACCACCAUCUACCACAAAUACCCCUGCAGCAACGACUACUACAGUUGCCUUAGUUAGUACGGCUAGCCGUUCAGGAAGGGUCGGGGAUGGAACUGCAUCUACAGCAAUGAUUUCAUCUGGCAACAUCACCAGUCUUGCAACAAUUAAUAUCAUAAGUAGUCAUACCCUCACAACCACCACCACUAGUCCUGACCAAAACAGCACAAUUAGCAGCAUUACCACUCAUAUUCCUGAAGACCAUAACAGUACAAUUAGCAGCAUUAACACUCAUAUUCCUGAAGACCAUAACAGUACAAUUAGCAACAUUACCACUCAUAUUCCUGAAGACCAUAAAAGUACAAUUAGCAGCAUUAACACUCAUAUUCCUGAAGAACAUAACACUACAAUUAGCAACAUAACCACCCCUAUUCCUGGAGACCAUAACAUUACAAUUAGCAACAUAACCAUCCCUGCUCCUGAAGACCAAAACAGUACAAUUAGCAACAUAACCAUCCCUAGUCCUGGGGACCCUAACAUAACAAUUAGCAACGUAAGCACCCAUAUUCCUGGAGACCACAACAAUACAAUUAGCAACAUAACCACCCCUAGUCCUGGGGACCCUAACAUAACAAUUAGCAACGUAAGCACCCAUAUUCCUAGAGACCACAGCAAUACAAUUAGCAACAUAACCAUCCCUAGUCCUGGGGACCCUAACAUAACAAUUAGCAACGUAAGCACCCAUAUUCCUGGAGACCACAACAAUACAAUUAGCAACAUAACCAUCCCUAGUCCUGGGGACCCUAACAUAACAAUUAGCAACGUAAGCACCCAUAUUCCUAGAGACCACAACAAUACAAUUAGCAACAUAACCACCCCUAGUCCUGGGGACCCUAACAUAACAAUUAGCAACGUAAGCACCCAUAUUCCUGGAGACCACAACAAUACAAUUAGCAACACAACCACCUCUGCUCCUGAAGACCACAACAUUACAAUUAGCAACACAACCACCCCUAUUACCCCUAUAAAUCCUCCCCAGACCAGUAGCACGACAGUCUUCCGUAAAACCUCUACAUCAACAACUGCCUCAGUCCAAUCUAACCCCCCAGUUGCCCCUACUGAGAGAGCAACAAGCAGGCAUCAGGCUGCCACAGGCCAAACGACCAGUCAUAAAACCACAGAGAAUACGGAGGCGACACAUAAGACCACAGAGAAUGCUGCAGCUGUAGUUGCUGGGGGUGGAGAGGGAGUCCCAGGAUGGGGGAUCGCUCUAUUGGUACUGGCUGUCCUGACCUUGUUAAUCCUCCUUAUUCUCCUAAUACUGCUGCUAGUGUGGUUGUGCUGUAGGCAGAGAUAUGGAAGUUUCAGCGCAUAUAACCAGAUCAACCACGGGGCAGACAUCCAAAUGUACUCCACACACAGCCGCUUCGACGUGCCCAACGGCAAGCCUAAUGACGAAAUGCAGGGACCAUCGAAAAACCAAACAGGGAUGCAUGUGGUGAACGAGUACUGACACACAGGGAGAUGGGGUUCAACGUGAGGUUCGAAUAGGUAGACUACUGAUUAUUGCCGAUAUAGAAGCUCCAGUCAAUUGGGUAAGAAGACCAUCUGAAAUGGCCUUAUGAAGUAAUAUGCAUGGGAGCAAUGACAAUUCUGUACAAAUGGUCCAAUUAUCUCUGAAGUAUCUGAAUGAAGAUCAUGGCGUUGGCUCACUGAUUGUAAUUUCAACCUGUAUUUAUUCAAAUCAAAUCACAUUUAUUUAUAAAGCCCUUUUUACAUCAGCUGAUGUCACAAAGUGCUAUACAGAAACUCAGCCUAAAACCCCAAGCAGCAAGCAAUGCAAUGUCCUAAUGUUAUUUUAUUCCUAAUGUUUUUACCAGUGGAGGCUGCUGAGGGGAGGAUGGCUCAUAAUAAUAGCCGGAAUGAAGUCAAUGGAAUGGUAUCAAAGAC
RNA transcript from Oncorhynchus tshawytscha (Chinook salmon), 2614 nucleotides. RefSeq lists it as uncharacterized. The record is from RefSeq and is a predicted model, not a curated record. The transcript is spliced from 9 exons. Lineage: Eukaryota; Metazoa; Chordata; Actinopteri; Salmoniformes; Salmonidae.